This 785-nucleotide long non-coding RNA is filed under the name Selaginella moellendorffii. RNAcentral describes it as "long non-coding RNA (SMOE_LNC000584)". Lineage: Eukaryota; Viridiplantae; Streptophyta; Lycopodiopsida; Selaginellales; Selaginellaceae. The record is from RNAcentral.
GAGCAUCCUUAUCUUGUGGAUAUCGGCCUGACGGUGAAUCAAUUCCACGGUCCCAUCCCGCCGAAUCUCGGAGUUAACAGCAAGCUGCAAGGUAUGGAUCUGGGAACCAACAAGUUCACGGGUGAGAUUCCACCAAACUUGUGCAUGCACAACGAGUUGGUUUACCUGGUUCUUAUUGAAAACGAGCUGUCGGGGCCGAUUCCACGAGGAUUACUCCAGUGUCAAACGUUGAAAAGGCUAAGGUUGGAGAACAACAACCUCACGGGUGACAUCAACUUCGACGCGCCGGCUCUCACCGUAGCGAUAAUCCGCGAGAAUAAUCUGGAUGGCGGCCUGUUUAUAGAAGCGAGGAGUAACAUGUCAGCACUGCAAACGCUGGAUCUACGCUCGAAUCGAAUGAAAGGCGACUUACCAGAGAAGCUGAGCUCGCUCACGGGUUUGCAGAAGCUUCAGUUGGCCGGAAAUCGUUUUUCCGGAAGCAUUCCUCGCAACCUCGGCUUCAAGUUGAAGCAGCUCGAAGUCCUUGAUCUCAGUGACAACAAUCUCGAAGGAGGGAUACCCCUGUCGGUUUCCAGCUGCAGCAACCUGGUCACGCUCAAUCUCAGCAAGAACAGCCUCAGUGGGACGAUUGCUCUUGAAAGGAUGGACAAGCUUAACGCACUGGAUCUCUCGCACAACCAGCUUCACGGUGGAAUACCUCUGGCCAUUGGACGAUCUCCUGCUCUUGAGAAACUUGAUCUCUCGUUCAACAAUCUGUCCGGAGAGGUGCCGGCCUUUUGCAAGAG